This is a non-coding RNA of Nitrospira bacterium SG8_3, 84 nucleotides long. The record is from Rfam. Lineage: Bacteria; Pseudomonadati; Nitrospirota; Nitrospiria.
GCAGGGGUGGCAGAGCGGUCAAAUGCGCCAGCUUGAGGGGCUGGUGGGUUAGUCCCUUCGAGAGUUCGAAUCUCUUCCCCUGCA